RNAcentral lists this long non-coding RNA (4726 nucleotides) under Zea mays. RNAcentral's name for it is "long non-coding RNA (ZMAY_LNC004371)". The record is from RNAcentral. Lineage: Eukaryota; Viridiplantae; Streptophyta; Magnoliopsida; Poales; Poaceae.
CCCACUUCUCUUCCCCCUUGGCUGCCGCCCCCCUGCCCAUCUCCUCCUCUCUCAAUUCUUGCAGCCACCAAACCCUAGCCCCCCCUCUCAAUCCCCUCCUCCCAAGGUGUCAAUCCUUGCCGCUCGGAUCAUCGUCGUCGUGGUGCGAGUCUUCAAUCGUUUUGGUGGAGGGAAGAAGGGAGGAAGGAAAGGGGGAGAAUCCAAGGUGAUUUUUGUGUUCAUCCCUUGUUCAUUUGCGCUGCAAUUUAAUUGAUUAGAGGUUGCGUUUGCGAUUGGGGUAGAGGGGGGCUGUCCAGAAUUUUAGGUGGUGGGUGAACAGCAGUAGUCUAGCAGUUUAUGUGUUUUUUUCGUGAGGAAUUAAGGGAAAUCAGUUUGGGGAUCAUGUAGAACUUUACCUUACCUUUCCAACGAGUAUUUAUGCGCUCAAUUUGGAGUUAUAAAUUGAAAGUUAUCACCGUUUGAAUCCGGGUAUGUGGCUGUCCAAAAAACAGAUUUUUCAGGGGGAUGAACAGCAGCAGUAUUAGCAGUUUCUGGGGAUUUUUUGGGAGUAAUUAGUGUUAAUCAGUAUGAGAAUCAUGUAGGGCUUUAUGUUAUCUUUCCAACAAGUACCUAUGCGCUCGAUUCGGAGUUAUAAUUCAGGAGAUAUCAUUGUUUGAAUCCGGUUAUGUUGCUGUCCAAAAAAAACAGAUUUUUCAGGUGGGUGAACAGCAGUGGUAUUAGCAGUUUCUGGGAAUUUUUCGUGGGUAAUUAGUGUUAACCAGUAUGGUAAUCAUGUAGGGAUUUGUCUUAUCUUUCCAAUGAGUACUUAUGCGCUUGAUUUGGAAUUAUAUUUUAAAAGAUAUCGCUGUUUGAAUCUGGGUAUGUCGCUGUCCAAAAGACAAAGAAAAACAGAUUACAGGGUUCAUCUUGUGGACUGUUUUGGGCUAAUUAGAUAUUGAAAUUUUAUUAUAAAUUGUAUACAAAACUUGUGGGUAAUUUUAUGUAGAUGCCUCUGGAGUCUUUGUUUGUUACCACUGCUGUCAUAAUUUUAAAGUUAUGAAAUUAUUAAGCAGCGCCGCUGCAGUUUGGUGGGUGUAGGGAGAGAUGUAACCCGCGGCGGGGUUUGAGUUUGUGCGUAGGUGCGACGUCGCUUAUGAGCCUGAUUAUGUGAAAUUGGUGUACUAAGUUGGGUGUCAAAAACAGGUGGUGGGCUUCCGGAUCGUACUUGGGAUUUGCCCGAACUUCCGGUAAAGGCAAGUAAAUACAGUGGUGGUUGCUACCAUUUGGUUUGUAUCCUAUUCCCUGUCAUUGAGUAUGCAUAAGUUUUAAUUAUGUUAAUCAUUAAAUUCUAUGAUGAAGUUUAUUUGUUUGGAAGUAUUAAUUCUCAAUUGUCUAAUAUUGUGGAUGAUCAUAAUUUGGUAAUGAUAUAUGUGGUCGAUUCCCAUCUGGAUGAAGUUGAAGUGUCUUUUUGAAUCAUGUUAUAUGAAGUGUUGUAGGCAUGACAUGCACAUCGCAUCAUCCAUCUUGCAUUUUGAAGUUAUGUCGUGAUCUUAUGGUCCGACCGUACCGGUACAUUUUUAGCAUCGUACGUUGCCCGAGGAGGGGUACGAUGCGGCUUCAUAUCCUUAGAGGUAUGAAGGCAGAAGUCAUCCUUGCAUUUGCAGACAUUUGCACUCAUGAGGAAUAUAUGAAGUGUAACAUUACUAUGUUACUAUUGUGGUUUCUACCUGCGAGGUGUGGUAACUAGGUGCGUUGUACGUUGUAUACGUGCUGCACCUUCGUAAUAAGAAGGUUGUGGAAUUAAGUGGUGGUAAAACAAUGUUCUUAUGUGGUUAAACUGUUUGAUAUUAUUUUACUUGCUGAGAUGUGUCAUCUCACUCUUGCAUUACUCAAUGCAGGUCCUUGAUACAUGUUGGGAAUGAGGGGAGUAGCAGCACGUCCACUUUCACUCUCACAAUAACGCUGCCCAGGCGCAGCCAUGAUUUAAUUAGAAACUUAUUGUCAGAGGAAGUUUGUUUAUUUUUUUUAUAUGGUCGUGCGCACUGGUUAAUUCAGUUCAGGUCGUAUGUUUAUCUUUCCUUGCUAGCCGAGUAAUAAUACUUCGUAUGUUUUAGUCAUGAUUUAUGUUUAUACUCUGUUGCUCCCUCUUUUAUGCAAUCUUGCAAAGGGGAUGCUGCCGAAAUUUUAUAUAUGGACGUCGGAAGUGUAGUACAGUAGCAUACCGGGUUGUUUGUGGAACCUGGAGUGUUACAGUUGGUUUCAGAGGAUAGGCUUUAGAUUCUACGCAAUUUGAAGAUAAAUUUGACACACUUGCACAUAUAGGAAGGGUAUGGGUUCAUAUAUCUUUCAUAUUAGUAUUUUAUUGUAUAGAUGACUAGAAUUUCCUUACUCCAAACCCGUUUAUAGUUUGAUGAGGUAUGUCGUAACGACGUAAUGCUUGAUAUGAAAUGUUACUUCUAUUUAAUAUUGGUUUCUUGAUGUGGUUGAUAUUGAAAUUAUUAUGCGAGUGAAGCUACUAAUGUACUUGUUUUAUAUACAUAUCGUCAUGAUGUUUUUUUGGGAUGCAAUGUUUACUAAUCUCUGAGCUAUUACCAUCAUAUAUUUCUAUAUGCUUGACUGUGGAUGUUUUUUUUCCCAAAAGGAUUCUUGGGUUCUAGUACUUGUAGGACCGAUUGUUUAUUGAGCUUGUGUAUAGAGGUUCUAAUCCGACUUGGUGUAGUGUGAAAACACUAUACAAUGAAGUUUUAUGGUGUUGUUGAGUUGGAUUGACUGUUGGGUUACAACCCAACUUAUCAAUGUAAUAUUUCCAUGGGUGCAGUGCUUUACACCUCACCUUUUUUUGGCUGGUGUGGCUACUUGCCAACUUGAUCUUAGAGUACAAUAGGUUUGUCUCCAUAGAGCAAAGGCAAUGUUGUACUGUCUAUGAAAUCUUGAGACUAGAAGAACUCAAGUGAAUUUGCAAGAUGACGUGGGUAGAUAAGUCCAACCAUGUUUACAUGAUAGGUUUUCUUAUUGUGUGCAACCUUAUCUUUAAUAAUAAAUAGGGUGAUUUCAAGUGGAUUUUAUGUCUAUAUUAUAGUUGAAGAGGCAUGCAUGUUUUCCUUCUAUGGUUUGUUUCUAUAGCCAAAAAGGUUAUGCAUAAUUUCUAUUUGUUGGAGGCUAGUCAUGCGGACGAUAUGGACAACCCGUUUUAUAUUGUUUUUAAUCGCCGAUGAUACAUGGUAGUUUUUUUAUAUGAUCAGUUCUCUAUGCAUGCUUGUGGAAUUAUUAUUUGGACCGCUUUAUCUUAAACAAAGUCAAUGUUUAACUGGAAGUUGCUUAUGUUUGUUAGUCAUCUAUCUCUAUAAUGAUGUGGUUGUUGCAUUAGAUGGAGAUUUUUAUUAUAUGAAUGAUGGUUUGAUAGAUCAUGUAUGUCUACUACUUUGAAUUCAUCCUAUGACAUCACUAGGUACAAAUUGUUCAAGUGCAAUAAUAGGAGGUAUUGUUGUAUGUGAGGUUAAUCAAAGUAGUUGGGUUAGGUGGAUUAUCUUAUUGAAGUCCAAUUACUCUUGUUGAGCAUAGUAUCAUGUUAUUAUUUUAGUGUUGAAAGUAAUAUUUAUGAAGCUUUUGCAUGAGUCCGUGUCAAGAAGUACAUUAGUUUUUUCUUGUUGUUAUCCCUCCAUUGCUUUAUGAGUAUUGCAAAUUUUAUCUCUUUUGAGAGGGGGAAAAGAUGUUAUAUGACAUGAGCACCAUUUGCUUCACGUCAACAGAAUAGUUUUGGAGAUUUCUAGUAGUUGGAUUCUAGUGUAAUAACAACCAUGUUUUAUAGAGCUGGAGACGGGUAUGUCAGGUGUUUCAUACAUUGUCGGUACAUGGAUGUUUGACCUUAGUGACAUUAACAAACGAGGUUGUUGAAUUCAUUGAUUGUUGUGCUUAGUGUUCUAACCUAUUUGGUAGAGUGUUAUUUAAAGACUUUGUGGAGUUGCAUCCCAGUUUGGUAGUGGAAAAUCCUAGUGUUGAUGGCACCUGCCAAUGACUUGGGUUUCAUUUUAUAUUGUUUUUUUAUUGUUGAUAAUGUGUUGUUUGGUUCCGGGAGGCAUUUUAAAUUAGUUGGAGGCUGAAUCAGGCUCACUUAUCUAGAAUGUUUUGUAGUAUGUUUCUGCAUCUUUCCAUAGGAUGCUUAAUCACCAUGUUUGGUCUAAACAUUUGAGAGAUAUGGGUUUCUUAAAACAUCUUUGUUGGUGUCUCUAGCAGAGUGAGUCUUUAAUUUUGUACGGAAGAGUAGACAUUGAAGACGGUAUAAUUUGGUCUUUGUGGAUUAUGAAAGUUUUAGUAAUUUCAUGAUCUUUUCAAAGAGUAUGGGUUUCUAAUUCUCAUUGCAUAUAAUUGGAGUUAGGUUGCUCUGAAGUUGUUGCACUGUUGUGUCUAAACUUUAGGCGUCGUUAUAAUCACCAAUAAAUCGACCGCGUUUUGAUAGUUGCAGAGCACAAAUUUGCGAAUUCUCUUUAAGCAAAACUUGUAGGUAUUUUCAGUACCUUUUUAAUGGGUAUUUACUUGUAACUGUCUGUUAAAUAGAUUUGGAGAGGUGGUUGCCCGGAUAUAAGUCGAAUUUCUAAUGUGCAGUAUCUCAGGCUGAGUUUAGCUGUAGGUCAUGCAGAGUUGUGGGCUAUAAGGAUAAAUUUGGGUGCAACUUUAUUGCAAAAGUCGUGGACAAUUUUCAAAACUUUUCCAACGCGUGUUCGUUGUAGUUUAAGUUGAGUAUAGCAGG